Molecule: non-coding RNA, 32 nt
Filed under: Homo sapiens (human)
Lineage: Eukaryota; Metazoa; Chordata; Mammalia; Primates; Hominidae
Source: RNAcentral
UGAGCAGGGAUUUCUGUCACUUGCGGCAGAAA